AGCGAACGCUGGCGGCAUGCCUAACACAUGCAAGUCGCACGGGUCGGCUUCGGCCGGUCAUUGGCGGACGGGUGAGGAACGCGUAGGGAUCUGUCCUCUGGUGGGGGAUAACCGCGGGAAACUGCUGCUAAGACCGCAUGGGGCGCCGGUGUGAGAUCCGGUGUCAAAGGCUCGCAUCGCGAGGUGUGUGUCGCCUGGGGGUGAGACUGAGUCCGUUUAGCUGGUUGGCGGUUGAGUGGCCCACCAAGGCGUCAGUCGGUAGCUGGUAUGAGAGGGAGGUCCGCCACACUGGGGGUGAGACACAGCACAGACUCUUACGGGAUGCAGCAGUGGGGAAUAUUGGAACAUGGGCGCAAGCAUGAUGCAGCACUGCCGCGUGGGUGAAGAAGGUAUUCGGAUUGUAAAGCCCUUUCGGCGGGGACGAUGGUGACGGUACCCGAAGAAGAAGCCCCGGCUAACUUCGUG
This 465-nucleotide ribosomal RNA is filed under the name uncultured bacterium. RNAcentral describes it as "partial 16S ribosomal RNA". It matches the Rfam family "Bacterial small subunit ribosomal RNA", at positions 28 to 507 of the family's 1533-position model. The record is from RNAcentral.